Molecule: ribosomal RNA, 440 nt
Filed under: uncultured bacterium
Lineage: Bacteria
Description: partial 16S ribosomal RNA
Rfam family: Bacterial small subunit ribosomal RNA
Source: RNAcentral
CCUACGGGAGGCAGCAGUAGGGAAUAUUGCUCAAUGGUGGAAACCCUGAAGCAGCAACGCCGCGUGGGGGAUGAAGGUAUUAGGAUUGUUAACUCCUUUUGUUAGAGAAGAUUAUGCCGGUAUCUAACGAAUAAGCACCGUCUAACUCCGUGCAAGAGGCCGCGGUAAUACGGAGGGUGCAAGCGUUACUCGGAAUCACUGGGCGUAAAGCGUGCGUAGGCGGGGUAAUAGGUCAGAUGUGAAAUCCUGUAGCUUAACUACAGAACUGCAUUUGAAACUGGUACUCUGGAGUGUGGGAGAGGUAGGUGGAAUUCUUGGUGUAGGGGUAAAAUCCGUAGAGAUCAAGAGGAAUACUCAUUGCGAAGGCGACCUGCUGGAACAUUACUGACGCUGAUGCACGAAAGCGUGGGUAGCGAACAGGAUUAGAUACCCUUGUAGUC